Long non-coding RNA from Melitaea cinxia (Glanville fritillary), 417 nucleotides. RefSeq lists it as uncharacterized. The record is from RefSeq and is a predicted model, not a curated record. Lineage: Eukaryota; Metazoa; Arthropoda; Insecta; Lepidoptera; Nymphalidae. The transcript has 2 exons.
AGGAUCUCAUCCCAUUUGCAAAGUCCCACAUGAUGACUAAAUGGAAUAACCUUUGGUCUCAGUCAAGCAGAUCCUGUGGCAGAUAUUAUGCUGAAAUUCAAGACUCCAUCCCUCCUAGACCUUGGUUUUUCCAAUACCGUCAAGCUUGCAAAUUUGUCUGUUCAACAAUAUGUCGCCUUAGACUUGGACACUCAUGUACUCCUGUAUUUCUUGCAAAGAUCAGGAUCAGGGACAACUCCCUUUGUGAAUGUGGGAUCGACGAAGGUAAUUCAACAGUGAAAAUCUGCCACUUUAAUACCGUAUAAAUAUUUAACACUUGUACUCUCAUGACACCAAUAUUCUUAGCAGAGCAUUUACCCUAAACAUAAAAUCAUAGACUCACUCUGACAUUGGCAAAUCCUCACGGAAGCCAUUAUA